AUUUCUAUAACUAUUUAUAUAGUUUAAUAAAAAAACAUUACAUUUUCAGUGUGAAAUUAAAUCUUAUUUUAUAA
RNAcentral lists this transfer RNA (74 nucleotides) under Microtrichalus sp. A00270. RNAcentral's name for it is "tRNA-Glu". The record is from RNAcentral. Lineage: Eukaryota; Metazoa; Arthropoda; Insecta; Coleoptera; Lycidae.